UAUACAUGACUCUGCGCAUAUCAAUAAGCGGAGGAAAAGAAACUAACAAGGAUUCCCCUAGUAACGGCGAGUGAAGCGGGAAGAGCUCAAAUUUGAAAUCUUAAAGGGUUUCCCUUUACGAAUUGUAGUUUAAAGAAGUGGUUUCUGUUGAGGUUUUGGUAAAAGUUCUUUGGAAUAGGACAUCAUAGAGGGUGAGAAUCCCGUAUUUGACCUUUACUUUCAACUUUGUGAUACACUUUCAAAGAGUCGGAUUGUUUGGGAAUGCAGUCCAAAAUGGGUAGUAAAUUUCAUCUAAAGCUAAAUAUUGGCGAGAGACCGAUAGCGAACAAGUACCGUGAGGGAAAGAUGAAAAGAACUUUGAAAAGAGAGUUAAACAGUACGUGAAAUUGUCAAAAGGGAAGCGUUUUGACACCAGUGUUGUUUUUCUGAAAAUCAAUUAAAGAACUGUUUAUGCUAAGCUGUUUAGACUUUAUCAGCUAAUCUGUUUAGUUUUGAGCUUUUCUUUAAUGCACUUUUCAGUUAACAAGUCAACAUCAAUUUCUUUUGCUGUAAAAAAGCUUGAGGAAGGUGGCUUGAGAUUCGUCUUAAGUGUUUAUAGCCUCUUGCCUAUGCAGUCGGAGAGAUCGAGGUCUGCAGCGUAGAUCCUUCGGGGCUAAAUGCAUUUGUGCUAAGUUAUAGCAUUUUAUAGACAACUUGUUGACUAUGAUUUGUCUUGUAGCUUACUCGCUUAUGUUAUUUUACCUACGCUUAGGAUGUUGAUCUACAGAGCGAGAGU
This 775-nucleotide ribosomal RNA is filed under the name uncultured Neocallimastigales. RNAcentral's name for it is "partial large subunit ribosomal RNA". It matches the Rfam family "Eukaryotic large subunit ribosomal RNA", at positions 22 to 645 of the family's 3401-position model. The record is from RNAcentral. Lineage: Eukaryota; Fungi; Neocallimastigomycota; Neocallimastigomycetes; Neocallimastigales.